UACGGAGGGUGCAAGCGUUAUCCGGAUUCACUGGGUUUAAAGGGUGCGUAGGUGGGCAGGUAAGUCAGUGGUGAAAUCUCCGGGCUUAACCCGGAAACUGCCGUUGAUACUAUAUAUCUUGAAUGCCGUGGAGGUAAGCGGAAUAUGUCAUGUAGCGGUGAAAUGCUUAGAUAUGACAUAGAACACCUAUUGCGAAGGCAGCUUACUACACGGAGAUUGACGCUCAUGCACGAAAGCGUGGGGAUCAAACAGG
Molecule: ribosomal RNA, 253 nt
Filed under: uncultured bacterium
Lineage: Bacteria
Description: partial 16S ribosomal RNA
Rfam family: Bacterial small subunit ribosomal RNA
Source: RNAcentral